GUUCACUGCCGCCGCCGAAUAAGUCUGAGCGAUGCCUACGCUGAGAACAUGCUAAUUUCAGGUGUACAAGACAAUGCUAAUUACGUCUUAAACAUUCACUUUUGAAACUGAAGAGGAUCCUGACUGAGUGAUGCUAAGUUUUACAAUCCUGGAGCACUUUUGAUAUAAACUUCUCAAGCUUCCACUGUUCCUGAAGAAACGAAAGCACUCCUUGAUAUGGGGUGGGAAGAGGCUGAAGUGUCUUGUGGAUCACAGAAAUGUUGCUUUGGUUCGGAGAACAGCUUUCCUCAGUGCUUUUGUGCUCCAGCAAGCAGCCCCGGAUCACAGGGGAAAGAAAGACCAUAAAAUGCUCUCUGAAUCCGUAAGGACGACCCCAUUGGCACAGAUGGGAAUUCUGCUGUGAAGUGAGAGCAUUGGUUUCCUGAAAGAUGACCUAAUGGCUGCAAAGAGUUUCUUUAGAAACGCCAUAUUUUGUCAUUGACCCAUCUCUACCAUAUCACACACUCCUGAAGCAUUCCAUAGCAUUGUUCCCAGGAAGUCAAAGAUGGCUCAGAAGAAAAACUGUCAUCUUCAACAAAGAAAUGCAGUAGCUGUUUGUCGUGGGGGAAGGUUUAAUUCAAUUUGCAGCAUCUCUGGGUUUCUAUUUUGACUCGAGUUGUUUUCAGCACAUUCUCUCCAAGUUACCAAAAGUUAGAGUGUAUAUUUUAAGAAAUGCCACCAUUUUUGCUAUUUACUGGGGAUGACGUGUUCGAGGAUUACUUUCCAUGAAAAUGUAGACUAUAGGAUUGAGAAACACACAGUGUACAAGAAUUCAUCAUGUUUUAAGAUACCACUAAAAUGUAGGAAAGCUUUUCCCAGACAAUAAUGAGAUCUUCUGUUGUAAAGCAUAUACAUGAUAUUGUCCAUGUCCUUUCGUUGGCAUUAGUUUUUAACUCCAGUUCACUAAUGCCAAUCUCUUUCAGGAAGUGGUAUUGUUCCUCCUCUCUGGCCCCUCAGCAGUUGGUUUCUGGAUUAAAUAGAAUGCUCACCCCUUUCACAUCAUACUAGCUCUCCCUCGGUAAGAGUAUGAUCAGCUUGCGGGCAGGGGUCAAUCCUCAUGUAGCACUAAUACAAUGUUUGACAUAUUUGCCGAACCAAU
This is a long non-coding RNA of Hipposideros armiger (great roundleaf bat), 1138 nucleotides long. RefSeq lists it as uncharacterized. The transcript has 4 exons. The record is from RefSeq and is a predicted model, not a curated record. Lineage: Eukaryota; Metazoa; Chordata; Mammalia; Chiroptera; Hipposideridae.